GCUAUGGACCAGCCACACAAGUCCGAUGGCUUCAAGGUAACAGUAAGAAAGCUCCUUUGAGUUGAGUUGUUUUUUAUUAAAGCUGUUGUGAUAGUUAUUUAUUAGUAACUGGUUAUGAACAUCUGUUCUUUGAGAGUAUUCUCUGACUGUAUUUCUAGCAGUUAUGAAUUUGAGUUUGUAAGUUGUUCUUAAAAUGUAUUUGCUCACUUCUAGAUCCAAAUAAAGAUAGAAAGAAGCAAAGACUGAAAAUUAGUAUAUGGAUUCUUCCUUACCCAUAUAGCUGCUUAUAAAGGAAAAAAAAAAUAGCAAAAUGAAGAUAAAAGCCGUAAGGUGUAUUGCCCCUUUUCUUUUACUCAGUCAUCCUGCGGCUACUGAGAUGAGUUUAGUACUGGCUGGUGUACACCACUGUGGUGGGUGUUUCCCAUGUUGUAAAUGCCCUGGCUGAGUACCCGCCGGCCUUAUUCCAGGAGCAGGGGUCUUCUGUCAGCUAUCUCUCAGUGCAGAGGAUCUUCGAUUCUAAGUUUAGUAGCCACCUUACUCCCUUAUCUUCAGUUAUCACAAGCUUAAGCAAUUAAAAGAGAAAGGCUAGGUCAGCAACUCUGCUUUUGAUUUUUAAAAUUAUUUUCUGAGAAUCCCAGCAAAAUAUAAAAAGGAUAGUGGACAGUCUUGAUUUGUGUCUGACCAAGAUACCUGAAUGUAUCUUUAGCUAAAGCACUUAGUCUAUCUGGCCCUUGAUCUCUUCACUGGCAAGUGAAGGAGUUAGGAGGGUUUUCCUUUAAAGUCCCUUUCAGCUCCAAACGUUCCUAUUUUCCUUGGGAGCUGGCUAUAUCCCUGAACACUGUCACGUGUCUAAUAGGACCUAGGUUUUUACAGUGUUUUAAACAUUUGUAAGAUCUUUGUAAAUGCUCUAGAUGUUUUAUUUUUGAAUUAUUUUUACCUCAAAAUUGUAUAAGCUUUUUUAUAUCGGAAAAAAAAGCACUAGAUGGCCACUUCAGGCUCCUUGCCACCUUAGAGAUGCAGAAGGCUCCGAGACCACUUGGCUACAGGUAACUUACUUUCCACCAUUUGAAGUGUCAUAAUUUGGCUGGCUAGUCAGUUAGGAAGUGACUGCACACAGAACAGACUCUGCAGAGGAGACGUUUCAGGCCGAGGGCUGCAGUUAGCACAAGCACAGGUCCGCUUCUCCAGCGACAUGAUCUCAUGCCAGUGUAGGACGACUGAGUAGCUGUGCCCUCCAACCUUCGUGUGAUGUGCCCAGUGUAGAUGAAUAUGAUUGUGAAGAAUUAAUAGAUAUAUAUAUGCCAGUUACUAACUUAAAGUGUAUAGAAUAUUUUAAUAUAUAAUUUUUUGUAAAGAACUGGGAUUUUUAUACUACAGUAUUUGUAAUUAAUGUGUCUCACUAAUUAAAUUUCUCUUGAAGAAAAUAUGCAAACUAUUAGACACAUGAGUGGCUUUUGAACUCUAAAGAUAAAAUAAAUGCACUACUCUGGUGUUGUUAGGAUACCUUUUGGGUACAUGAAUCUUCCUAAUUCAAAGGGUCCUGUCCAAGCAGUGUUUACAAGGAGGCCUUUGGUUCCCACGGGGAGAGCUUCACUCUGCCUUCAUUUAAUUUAUGUGCUUUGCUUUGGCAGCGCUUGCUUUUUGCACUAGUAGACUUUGAACUUACCUCAUUAUUAUGUUUGUAAUCAUUGUGUAGCUUCCAUGAUGUGUCUGAUAGAAGCUAAACAUGUCUUAACCAAAGUUACAUGGGAUGCAGAUUUGCACAUAUGGACUAGUAAGUAGGCUUUGCUGUAUAUGUGUGCUCAGCUAAGAAGAGUAGCCAGUUUUAGAAAGUGUGUGUUUUAAGCCCAGUUACUUUAGUAGAAAACUUUGGGCUUCCAGUCCUAUUCUUUGUAUUAAUUAGCAGUUUGCAUCUUGAAACCAUUUAUCUUACUAUUGAGGCAAAGGUUGAUGUCAAGCAGACGAGAACGCUGAGUUUGUGCUCAUUUUACCUAUUUAGUAUGCGGUUUAGUUGAUUUUGCUUAAAGGCAUCACCUUCUUUUCUAUUCUAGACCAGGAAAAAGAUGUGGGCCCAUGGUUCUAAUACCCGAUUUGCUUCUUUGAAGAAAGGGUGGCCUUUCUAUACUAAGCGAUUUGUUACAAUAAUAAACCUUUUUACCUCAAGAAUUGCCCAAAUUGUAUUUUUUCCAUUGGCAUUACUUCCUUAGCAUAAAUCAUGUUUCUGUUAUGGGACUGGUGGCUGAAAGAUCCCCUUAGCAGAUCUGUGUGGCUUUGCUGUUAGCAAUUCCUAUGGUGCUAGAGCUGCAUGUCUGUGAGAGCAGCUGUUCUGCCAACAUGCAUAGCGGGGGGCUUCUAAGGACUGCACGUCGUCAGCUGCCGUCUUCAGCACGCAGACCUUGGGUUUUUUGUUUGUUUGUAUGUGUGUGUGUGUGUGUGUGUGUGUGUGUGUGUGUGUGCAUGUGUGUGUGCGUGUGUGUGCACGCUGGAGAACUGGAGAUUGACCUUGGGGCCUGGGCACCUAGGCUAGUGUUCUAAUAGCAAGCAACACCACAGCCCAGGCAGAUAACUCUUCCAAGAGGAUUUUACCUAAGUUAAGUUUCUUUCUUUUGUCUCCAAGCUGUAUAGCUGUCUUUGUGUCACAAGCCUCUUCCAUGUGUUCUGGACUUUGGUUCACAUAAGUAAAAAUACUGUUGAUACUGCAUGCUCUUAGAAUUAUGUUUUUUUAAAUACUGUAUUGGCCUUAUUUUAUUUUAGCGCAUUGUUUUAACUAGAAAUAAGUUAUAUAUAAACUCAGUCUGUAUUUAAGAACUAAGAGAAUCUGUUUGCAUGGGAGGCACCUUUGCCCCAUAACCCAGUUACAUGUUAAGUCACCUGCAGAGGAGUGAAGCUGCCACUCAGUAUCUCACAGGCUUGCAGACGAGCAAAAAUCGCUUCUGCUUUAGAGUGUCUGCUCUAACUAAGGGGCUUUAUUUAAAACAAUAGCAUAGUAACGUAAAGACAUUUGUUAUGUUCUGUCUGGAGUGAUUGGUAUCUGGGGGUUACUCCUGUAGUAAGCUGCUCCCAAGUGGAGAGACUGCGAGUAGGCUUGGUCUUUGGCCAUUUGAAGUAACUGCUGUGCUUCCCAAGACUGGUUUUAGGCAGUUGUAUGUAUUGUGUACCAAUGAUAUGUAAAAUAAAAGUUCCUUUUUCU
RNAcentral lists this long non-coding RNA (3190 nucleotides) under Mus musculus (house mouse). RNAcentral describes it as "long non-coding RNA chr10:82739229-82742419". Lineage: Eukaryota; Metazoa; Chordata; Mammalia; Rodentia; Muridae. The record is from RNAcentral.